CGAUUCUUCCAUUCAAGGCAGCGAUUGAUUGGCAACCAUCUUUCACACACGCACUUUGUAUUUCCCCUGAUUUCCGAGUUUUGCUACAGACAGAAUUUUGUAGGUAUUCGCGAUCCAGUAGUAGUUGUUGGAAGCGAGUUGUUGGUGAGGUUUGAGCCGCGGAUAUUCGUGCGAUGGACGCUUUGAGGCACGCCGACGCGAAAGUGCAGCAUGCGACGCACCCAGCGGGAACAGCGCGGUGGAGAAUGAACAGAUACAACCCCAUGGCGAGGCUACGCUGGAAGAAGAACCGCGUGACCCACCCUGUUGGAUACCAGAAGGCGAAGACGAGGGCGAGAUUGAACUACAUCAACCCCCUCUUCUACAUCCGACGCAUCAAGCGUAACCUCACUGGCGUUGGGCACCGCCACAGGACCACCACCGUAUAUUAGAAGAAGCCUUGUACAUAUAUUGCUUCAGUGUAGGCAUCCGAUUGUAAAGCCGAGUUGGAACGGGAGAGAGAUUGGUACAGAGACGCUGUUUGAUUUAAUUUUGUUAACGGCACUUCAUGAUUUCCAGAAGCGCCUGCUCACACCAGGCGAUUCUUUAGACUGUAACCCUAGGUAUAUAAAUUUAUUGAGAAUUUAUCUGCAUAUUUCUCUUG
Molecule: long non-coding RNA, 643 nt
Organism: Physcomitrium patens
Lineage: Eukaryota; Viridiplantae; Streptophyta; Bryopsida; Funariales; Funariaceae
Source: RefSeq, a predicted model, not a curated record